Molecule: long non-coding RNA, 1669 nt
Organism: Astatotilapia calliptera (eastern happy)
Lineage: Eukaryota; Metazoa; Chordata; Actinopteri; Cichliformes; Cichlidae
Source: Ensembl
UCAGACGCAGACCAAAUAUAACACAUAGAACUCAAACAAUAAUAAUCAUCAUCAUCAUCAUAAUAAUAAACUAAAAGCGCUGGGUCACCGACCCAGGACCAUGACAAUUUGUGUUUGUGGCAGUAAUGUGACAAAAUGUGGAAAAGAGGGACGAAUACUUUUGCAAGCCACUGCAAGUACACAGAGAGAUAAUGAGGGGAUGAGGAACAGCUGGGACAAGGGGAAACAAAACUAGACUCACUGCAUAUAGGACAAAGACUUUCCCAAUAAAACAGACAUCACAAGGGUAAUCUAAUAAACAAAUGAACUUAGCAAACCUAAAGAACUUAUAAAUAAACAUCGACAUCUAAACAAACUAAAACUUAAAACGCUGGGUCAACAGACCCAGGAAAGUGACAGUAAAAUCAUUUAUUAUACACAUUAUACUUAUUUUCUUAAAUUGCUUAUCUAUUAUCUGUAUUUUAACUUGGGGGUCUAGGGGUGCUGCAUGUUUAUGAUAACACACUGACAAUAUCAGGACAAUUUUAGCCUUACUCUAUCAGUGAACAGCAUGCCCAUGCUAACUUAAACUAGACCAGCAAGCUAACCCCAUGUGUAUUAAGUGUUACUUCAGAAUAGGAACCAAACAAAUUAACGGAACGAAAUUAACUGUAACAACAGUUUGCAAAACAUUGUGACAGUUCUCAAGUGUUCCUACCUCAAAUCCAGCACGUGUUGCUGUGUUUUUGUUGUUAAAUGGACGAGGAGAGACCGGUGGCUGGUGAGAGGAUGCAGCAUUUCGUCAGUGGAGCAUAGAACGACGUCUCUGAUUGGUCAACAAGUGAGUAAAGAUGCAUCUGAUUGUUCGAAAGCGUCAACCAAAGAGCUGCUGGUCACGGCAAGAUACAAACUCGCCGGAGCUCUGCAUGAACGGCACAUCCGGGACCUUCAGCACUCAGGAGAGAUUUAUCUUGAGACUCAUUUGUCCAAGCUACUACCCUGCUGUCCCUCUGUCGUGUCUCAACCUCCAACAGGAAAGUAGAAGUCCUCAUAUGACACCAGGUGCCGAGGUCCUGUCUCAACCUCCUUCAGACCAAUUGACACCAGGUGCCGAGGUCCUACCUCAACCUCCUUCAGACCAAUUGGCUCAAGGACCAAGUAUUCUGGGGGUUCCAAGCCACACGCUUUACUCAGCUGCCCUGGACAACAUGAAGGGCACCUCUGGCUCAAUCACCCUGAACAACAAAAACAUUAGCAACACUUCACCAAGAAGGGCUGGGACGGUGAGAAGCAAGUGGACAAAUGAUGAAGUGAAGGUUGCUGAGCGGCACGUUUCACUUCAUAAAAAGCUGCAAAGUACCAGGUAAAAAGGAAUGUGACUGCUGCCUCCAAGCAGAGCCGGCAGCUCUGAAAGACAGAGACUGGGUUGUCAUAAGGUACUACAGCCACAACAGGAUCAUAGCAUUAAAAGAAAGAUGCAAGAAAAAAAGAAACAAGCAAGAGAGAUACUUUGUUACUUCCACAGUUAUGUCAGUAUUGCAGUUUUCUGUAUUGCAUUGUUCUUACUCAUAAAUCUGUGGUUUAUGCUGGGUGCUUUUUGCAAUUAAAUGAUAAAAAAGGCAGAUAAUGUUCCACGUUUUUAUUCACAUGAACAUUCACUACAAAAUGAAUUAAUGCAUUACAAUAUCAA